This 477-nucleotide ribosomal RNA is filed under the name uncultured bacterium. RNAcentral's name for it is "partial 16S ribosomal RNA". It matches the Rfam family "Bacterial small subunit ribosomal RNA", at positions 28 to 506 of the family's 1533-position model. The record is from RNAcentral.
GAUGAACACUGGCGGCGUGCUUAACACAUGCAAGUCGAACGAGAAAUGUAGACGGAAACCUUCGGGCGGAAGCCUUCAUUUCGAGUGGCGGACGGGUGAGUAACGCGUGGGUAACCUGCCUCAUACAGGGGGAUAACAGUUGGAAACGACUGUUAAUACCGCAUAAGACCACAGCAUCGCAUGAUGCGGGGGUAAAAACUCCGGUGGUAUGAGAUGGACCCGCGUUCGAUUAGCCAGUUGGCGGGGUAACGGCCCACCAAAGCGACGAUCGAUAGCCGAUCUGAGAGGAUGACCGGCCACAUUGGGACUGAGACACGGCCCAAACUCCUACGGGAGGCAGCAGUGGGGAAUAUUGCACAAUGGGGGAAACCCUGAUGCAGCGACGCCGCGUGAGUGAAGAAGUACUUCGGUAUGUAAAGCUCUAUCAGCAGGGAAGAAAAUGACGGUACCUGAGUAAGAAGCCCCGGCUAACUACGU